Molecule: long non-coding RNA, 751 nt
Filed under: Gallus gallus (chicken)
Lineage: Eukaryota; Metazoa; Chordata; Aves; Galliformes; Phasianidae
Description: long non-coding RNA NONGGAT003542
Source: RNAcentral
CUGCUACAGUUCUGAGUCUUUACACCACCACUUCAGGGAGAAGUCAGUAACAUCUGCUUCACUGAGCCACACGUAGACAGGGCUAAAAACCAUCAUCUCCUCUCUGAAUUACAUGGUGGGGGGAUCCAGACCCCUACAGUCAUUUCCCCCAGCCUCCCAUGCUGGCACUGUGUUUGCUUUUCCGCGUUAAAUCCCAAUCCCUAAGUAAGAGCUUUCUAAUCUUUAAAAAUUAUGGAAACGCGCAGAGUGAAGCAACAAAACAGCUCACUCUCCCCACUCUAUUCCCUCCACUUGCCAAGAGGACAAAUUGCUUUUUAAACAUAUCUAUCAGAAGAAGAUUGCGUCCUCCAUGAUUCACCAUAGGCCAAUACCAACGGGUGAGUAAAUGUUGCACCCGGCCCGGUACAUUUUCAGCCAAAAAAAAAAAAAAAAGGAUUGAAACUAAAGCACAUCGAGGACACAUUCUGCAUUAGACCAUGUCAACGUCUACAAACAGUUCCCAGCUUUUCGGAACCCACCCUUCAGAAUCUGACUGUGUCUGCUGUGAAACGCUCUCGGAAUGACUCGCUGAUCGGUCACCGCUGGAAAGAGCAGUUACGUGUCGGGGUUUCUUUCCUUUUGCAAAUAGAAGCCCAGGAAAGAUCCUGAAAGAUUACUAAGCUGAAAUGGUUACACGUUUGACAUCAUUUCUACCUGGCGCUACGCUCCGGUACCCGCGCUGACCAAGGCCGUCUGCAAAGCACUUCUUGGG